This 253-nucleotide ribosomal RNA is filed under the name uncultured bacterium. RNAcentral describes it as "partial 16S ribosomal RNA". It matches the Rfam family "Bacterial small subunit ribosomal RNA", at positions 524 to 776 of the family's 1533-position model. The record is from RNAcentral.
UACGAAGGGGGCUAGCGUUGCUCGGAAUCACUGGGCGUAAAGCGCACGUAGGCGGAUCUUUAAGUCAGGGGUGAAAUCCUGGAGCUCAACUCCAGAACUGCCUUUGAUACUGGGGAUCUCGAGUCCGGAAGAGGUGAGUGGAACUCCGAGUGUAGAGGUGAAAUUCGUAGAUAUUCGGAAGAACACCAGUGGCGAAGGCGGCCAACUGGCCCAUUACUGACGCUGAGGUGCGAAAGCGUGGGGAGCAAAAGGG